RNAcentral lists this ribozyme (78 nucleotides) under Crocodylus porosus (Australian saltwater crocodile). Its description in RNAcentral is "Mammalian CPEB3 ribozyme (ENSCPRG00005007425.1)". It matches the Rfam family "Mammalian CPEB3 ribozyme". From Rfam's summary of the family: The mammalian CPEB3 ribozyme is a self cleaving RNA located in the second intron of the CPEB3 gene which belongs to a family of genes regulating messenger RNA polyadenylation. This ribozyme is highly conserved and found only in mammals. There is currently only one other known self cleaving ribozyme in mammals, the CoTC motif. The record is from RNAcentral. Lineage: Eukaryota; Metazoa; Chordata; Crocodylia; Crocodylidae.
AGUUGCAAGUUCAAGGCCACAGCAGAAGCGCUCAUAAGCAGGGCCAUGUCAGAUUCCAAUGAAUCUGUAAAUUCUGCU